UACAGAGGGGGCAAGCGUUAUUCGGAAUUAUUGGGCGUAAAGGGCUCGUAGGCGGCCUGGCAAGUGGAAGGUGAAAUCCCUCGGCUUAACCGAGGAACUGCCUUCCAAACUGCUUGGCUUGAGUCCGGGAGAGGUGAGUGGAAUUCCCAGUGUAGCGGUGAAAUGCGUAGAUAUUCGGAGGAACACCAGUGGCGAAGGCGGCUCACUGAUCCGGUACUGACGCUGAGGUGCGAAAGCGUGGGGAGCAAACAGG
RNAcentral lists this ribosomal RNA (253 nucleotides) under uncultured bacterium. RNAcentral describes it as "partial 16S ribosomal RNA". It matches the Rfam family "Bacterial small subunit ribosomal RNA", at positions 524 to 776 of the family's 1533-position model. The record is from RNAcentral.